Molecule: long non-coding RNA, 432 nt
Filed under: Piliocolobus tephrosceles (Ugandan red Colobus)
Lineage: Eukaryota; Metazoa; Chordata; Mammalia; Primates; Cercopithecidae
Description: lncRNA (ENSPTEG00000016957.1)
Source: RNAcentral
AAUAAAUUAUCUUCCAAAACAAUUAGAAAUAAUGGGGUAAUUAAUUAUUGUGUUAUUUUUAUAUACCUACUUUUUCUUUUUCUGCAUUUUAAUCACUCCUUUUUUACUCAUAUUAGGUUCUUUCUUCGAGUUCAUACUGCUAUAUCAAAAUGGCCAUUUUUUUUUUUUUUUUGUGCUGCUUAUAUUUUUAGUAACUUAGAAAUUUAUCAGUACAAUAUUUGGAUGGGAAAAAAUGAAGAUAAAGACUUAAAAACAUUUUUGCACCAUGAUUAUCAUGACAAUAUAUAUGUACUAUUGAAAGGAAAGAAAAUAUUUAGGAUUUAUAGCCCCAAUUUCGCAAAAUUGUUAAAAACAAAUGGAAAUAUAUAUCGUAUUUAUAAUAAUGGAUUAAUCACAUACUCCCCAUUUAUUAGAAGUGACGGUAGGAUCUAA